AGUCGUUGCAGCGACUUAAAACAGGGCUUUAGGCUGCAAGCGUUCCCAUCCGGAAGGGUGGGAGGUAG
RNAcentral lists this ribozyme (68 nucleotides) under pig gut metagenome. RNAcentral's name for it is "Pistol ribozyme". It matches the Rfam family "Pistol ribozyme". The record is from RNAcentral.